AUUGAACGCUGGCGGCAUGCCUUACACAUGCAAGUCGAACGGCAGCACGGGAGCAAUCCUGGUGGCGAGUGGCGAACGGGUGAGUAAUAUAUCGGAACGUGCCCAGUCGUGGGGGAUAACGUAGCGAAAGCUACGCUAAUACCGCAUACGAUCUAUGGAUGAAAGCGGGGGGAUCGCAAGACCUCGCGCGAUUGGAGCGGCCGAUAUCAGAUUAGGUAGUUGGUGGGGUAAAAGCCUACCAAGCCUUCGAUCUGUAGCUGGUCUGAGAGGACGACCAGCCACACUGGAACUGAGACACGGUCCAGACUCCUACGGGAGGCAGCAGUGGGGAAUUUUGGACAAUGGGCGCAAGCCUGAUCCAGCCAUGCCGCGUGAGUGAAGAAGGGCCUUC
RNAcentral lists this ribosomal RNA (391 nucleotides) under uncultured bacterium. RNAcentral describes it as "bacterial SSU rRNA". It matches the Rfam family "Bacterial small subunit ribosomal RNA", at positions 30 to 420 of the family's 1533-position model. The record is from RNAcentral.